RNAcentral lists this ribosomal RNA (459 nucleotides) under uncultured bacterium. Its description in RNAcentral is "partial 16S ribosomal RNA". It matches the Rfam family "Bacterial small subunit ribosomal RNA", at positions 338 to 795 of the family's 1533-position model. The record is from RNAcentral.
CCUACGGGGGGCAGCAGUGAGGAAUAUUGGUCAAUGGCCGCAGGGCUGAACCAGCCAAGUCGCGUGAGGGAUGACGGUCCUAUGGAUUGUAAACCUCUUUUGUCAGGGAGCAAAGGGCGCCACGUGUGGCGCUUUGCGAGUACCUGAAGAAAAAGCAUCGGCUAACUCCGUGCCAGCAGCCGCGUUAAUACGGAGGAUGCGAGCGUUAUCCGGAUUUGUUGGGUUUAAGGGGUGCGCAGGCGGAGUGUAAAGUCAGCGGUAAAAUUUCGGGGCUCAACCCAGUCGUGCCGUUGAAACUGGCGUUCUUGAGUGAGCGAGAGGUAGGCGGAAUGCGUGGUGUAGCGGUGAAAUGCAUAGAUAUCACGCAGAACUCCGAUUGCGAAGGCAGCAUACCGGCGCUCAACUGACGCUCAUGCACGAAAGCGUGGGUAUCGAACAGGAUUAGAUACCCUAGUAGUC